This 497-nucleotide ribosomal RNA is filed under the name uncultured bacterium. RNAcentral's name for it is "partial 16S ribosomal RNA". It matches the Rfam family "Bacterial small subunit ribosomal RNA", at positions 28 to 507 of the family's 1533-position model. The record is from RNAcentral.
GAUGAACGCUGGCGGCGUGCCUAAUACAUGCAAGUCGAGCGAACGGACGAGAAGCUUGCUUCUCUGAUGUUAGCGGCGGACGGGUGAGUAACACGUGGAUAACCUACCUAUAAGACUGGGAUAACUUCGGGAAACCGGAGCUCAUAGCGGAUAAUAUUUUGAACCGUGUGGUUCAACAGUGAAAGACGGUCUUGCUGUCACUUUUAGAUGGAUCCGAGCUGCAUUAGCUAGUUGGUAAGGUAACGGCUUACCAAGGCAACGAUGCCUAGCCGACCUGAGAGGGUGAUCAGCCACACUAGAACUGAGACACGGUCCAGACUCCGACGGGAGGCAGCAGUAGGGAAUCUUCCGCAAUGGGCGAAAGCCUGACGGAGCAACGCCGCGUGAGUGAUGAAGGUCUUCGGAUCGUAAAACUCUGUUAUUAGGGAAGAACAUAUGUGUAAGUAACUGUGCACAUCUUGACGGUACCUAAUCAGAAAGCCACGGCUAGCUACGUG